GAUGAACGCUGGCGGCGUGCCUAAUACAUGCAAGUCGAGCGAACAGACGAGGAGCUUGCUCCUCUGACGUUAGCGGCGGACGGGUGAGUAACACGUGGAUAACCUACCUAUAAGACUGCGAUAACUUCGGGAAACCGGAGCUAAUUCCGGAUAAUAUAUUGAACCGCAUGGUUCAAUAGUGAAAGACGGUUUUGCUGUCACUUAUAGAUGGAUCCGCGCCGCAUUAGCUAGUUGGUAAGGUAACGGCUUACCAAGGCAACGAUGCGUAGCCGACCUGAGAGGGUGAUCGGCCACACUGGAACUGAGACACGGUCCAGACUCCUACGGGAGGCAGCAGUAGGGAAUCUUCCGCAAUGGGCGAAAGCCUGACGGAGCAACGCCGCGUGAGUGAUGAAGGUCUUCGGAUCGUAAAACUCUGUUAUUAGGGAAGAACAAAUGUGUAAGUAACUAUGCACGUCUUGACGGUACCUAAUCAGAAAGCCACGGCUAACUACGUG
This 497-nucleotide ribosomal RNA is filed under the name uncultured bacterium. RNAcentral's name for it is "partial 16S ribosomal RNA". It matches the Rfam family "Bacterial small subunit ribosomal RNA", at positions 28 to 507 of the family's 1533-position model. The record is from RNAcentral.